Molecule: long non-coding RNA, 633 nt
Filed under: Homo sapiens (human)
Lineage: Eukaryota; Metazoa; Chordata; Mammalia; Primates; Hominidae
Description: HSALNT0066200
Source: RNAcentral
CUUCUGUGAAAUAUAAACUCUUGCUUUUAUAGGAGUGGGAAGAUUUACUUCAAAAGUUAUUUCCAAACACUCAUUUCAGCUCAUGCAAAGGAAUGCAUCGUGGCUGCAAGCCAAGGGGAAUUUUAUUCCAAAGACCCCUCCUGGAGGAAUCUUUAAGAGGAGACUAAGGUCUCUGCAGGUGGAUAAAGAACCUGCCUAGAAUAUUAGCAGCAGAAGUAUAAUUAGAAGCUACCUCUUCGAUUAAAACAAACAUUCACAAAUAGACACUUGGGAUUUUAGUCACCACUAUUUCAAAGUAGAGGAGCUGAGGACGCUAAGACCCUAUAGAAAUAAAAGGAAGAUGACUAGGAGCCUAAGUCCCACCCUUCCAACUUCCAGCUUUAAUGUAAAAAGAAGCUAACAGCAAAUGCCUGGAUGCAACUUGCAUAUUCUCAAAGAGAAGAUGGUCCAGAGAGUAAGUGGAAUGGUCCUGGCUGCCAAAUGCUAAUAGCUUGAAAAUCCUCCACGAGAGAAGAAAAUCAAUUAAGAUGUAAUUAAAUCAUCACUUCAUCAUUUCUGCAUAUGAAAUAUUACACUGAGAUCAAGAAUUUGGUAUGUCUGGAUGCUGAUGACUGUCCCUUUAUCCCUAUAUCC